UACGGAGGGCGCAAGCGUUGUUCGGAAUCAUUGGGCGUAAAGCGGGUGUAGGCGGUCGAGUAAGUCGGGUGUGAAAUCCCGGGGCUUAACCCCGGAACUGCAUUCGAUACUGCUUGUCUAGAGUCUCGGAGAGGGUGGCGGAAUUCCCGGUGUAGGGGUGAAAUCCGUAGAUAUCGGGAGGAACACCAGCGGCGAAGGCGGCCACCUGGACGAUGACUGACGCUCAGACCCGAAAGCGUGGGGAGCAAACAGG
Molecule: ribosomal RNA, 253 nt
Filed under: uncultured bacterium
Lineage: Bacteria
Description: partial 16S ribosomal RNA
Rfam family: Bacterial small subunit ribosomal RNA
Source: RNAcentral